UUGUCGGAAGUGAACCCGGUCCGUGACUCCCGGAAGUGGAGCGCCCACAGCAGUGCGGCCCCAGCAGUUUCCGUGGCCGGUGUUUGUCUGGAGGUUCCAAGCAAUCUUCUGAGAUGGCGAACGCAGCCGCAGCUACAGCGGCGGUCUCCACUCUAGCUCCGCCUUUGGAGCAGAUCCGCCACUUGGCAGAGGAGCUGCGGUUGCUCAUGCCUGGAGUGCGCGUCGGCGAAGCCCAGGAGACCACCAAGGAGUUUAAUUCUGAGACGUUUUGGAGGAAACUCCAUGAGGCAGCUGUGAACGUGUCAAGGGAAGCCACGACUCUGACCGAAGUCUUCACUCGUCUUCCACUGCCCUCUCCGCAGGAAACACAGAGGUUCUGUGAACAAGUCCAUGCUGCCAUCAAGGCAAUGAUUUCAGUAUACUAUUCACUUCCCAAGGAUCAGGGAAUCACUCUGAGAAAGCUGGUACGGAGCGCCACUCUGGACAUCGUAGAUGGCAUGGCUCAACUCAUAGAUGUGCUUUCCAUGACUCCAACUCAGAGCCCAGAGAACAAUGACCUUAUUUCCUACAACAGUGUCUGGACUGCAUGCCAGCAGGUGUCUCAGAUACCAAAAGAUAACAAAGCUGCAGCCCUUUCAAUGCUGACAAAGAGUGUGGAUCUUGUGAAGGAUGCACAUGAAGAAAUGGAGCAGGCCAUGGAAGAAUGUGACCCAUACUGUGACCUUUUGAAUGACACUGAGGACAACUCUGAUAACCACGGUGAUGAAGAGAAUGAUGGGUUGGGGUAUCCAAAUAAUCGGGACUUAUAUUGGUCAGAGGAAGAUCAAGAGCUGAUAACCCCAUGCCUUGCACUGGUGAGAGCAUCAAAGGCCUGCCUGAAGAAAAUCCGGAUCUCAGUGGCAGAGAACGGGAAGAAGGAUCAGGUGGCCCAACUGGACGACAUUGUGGAUAUCUCUGAUGAGAUCAGUCCUAGUGUGGAUGAUUUGGCUCUGAGCAUAUACCCACCUAUGUGCCACAUGACUGUGCGAAUCAGUUCUGCAAAACUUGUAUCGGUCUUAAAGAAGGCACUUGAAAUUACUAAAGCAAGUCAUGUGACCCCACAGCCAGAAGAUAGUUGGAUCCCUUUACUCAUUAAUGCCGUUGAUCACUGCAUGAACAGAAUCAAGGAACUCACUCACAAUGAACUUGGACUGAUAUGGUGGACACAGUGAGAGAAGAGAUAACGAAAGAAGAUUCCUGCAACAUACUGAAACCAACGAGGAACUAAUAUAGGUAACACCUACAAAUCAACAAAGAGAAAAGCCAGGAACACAAAAGAAAAGUGGACAAAGUUUCCCUUUUGCAGAGAAAAUGAAGCCAUCCUUUAUCCUUAAGGAAUCAUCUCAAGCUCAUGUUCCCAUUCUCAACCUUAUCAACAUAGACCUCUACCCCUGCUGCCACCAUCCCCCCGGAAGAUGAGGUGUCCUCCCUCCCCACAUCAAACCUCCACUUUUGAGGACAUUUGCUGAUUCCCAACUGGCAGAUGAUAGUCUGAGAAUCUGAGCAGAUCUUCUGGCAAUCUCACAGGGCUGGAGGAUAUAAAUUGGAGUUCCAGGGCCACCAGGGAUGAAGGGCCCCAAUAAACACCCCCAGGUUUUCAAUCAGGACUCCUGAAGGACUAUACCCAGGAAUAAAGAAUUGAAACUUGAACUGCCCUCUACUCCCUCACCUCAGGCUCUGCUCCUGAACUUGAAACUUGAGCCUCUAUGGAGACCUUGCUGCUUGUGGACACAUGUCCAACCGAGCUUGUGUUUCAGUCUUCCCCAUCUUCCUUGCCAGUCGACAACAUCAUCAUCAUCAUCAUCAUCAUCAUCAUCAUCAUAGUGUCAGACAUGGUGCCAAGCAUUUGCAUGGGCAUGAUCUCAUUUAAUCAUCUCCAAAACCCUGUGUUAUCCGAUUUUAAAGAGGAGAAACCUGAAGCGUAGUGAGGCUGAGGUCACAUGGCAGAAGGAGGAGAGCCAGGGAAGAAUUUAAGCUCCCAAUUCUCUGAUCUCAAAACAUCUCCAAACUUGUAGCUACAAGACACAGCACUACAACUUCACUAGGCAUCACCGCACCAAAUCAUUCUCAAUGCACUUUCCUCUGUCAAGUUUCCACUGACUACUUCAUGCCACAUUAACCUCCCUUCUCAUGCUCUCACUUAAUCCCAAUCACUUGUGCCUCAUGUUUUAUCACUCGAUGGAGCUCUCUGUGAUCUGUGUUUGUCUUAUCUUGUCAGCCAGAUUACAAAUCCCCCUAGAGCAGGAUUCAUAUCAGAUGGUUUUCUUGAUAUUUCUUUGUUUCCAACAUAGUGCUGGGCACAGAGUAGAUGCUCAUUAAAUCUGUGUUGACAUGUGUUGUCUUUAACCUAUGAAUAACGUGUCUGAAGACUAUCAGUCCUAAUGAGUCACAGUUUGACUUGAGGCUCGGGUGACUCAUUGGUAAUUUGGGGAGGGGGACUGAGUCCCUCAUAAAAGGGAGGUAUGUGCGUUUGUGUGUGUGCACACACAUGCACGCACCCUCACACAGGCAUGCUUAGACAAAGUUGGACCAAAUCUCAGGGUCAGAAAAGGGCUGCAGAGUUCCCAAGGUAUAUCAUACCACACCACACUCCCAGAAUGAAUUACUAUGUCUCCUCACUCAGUCAUUCAGCACUCAUCCAGUGACUCAUGUCAAGCCCCUGUGAUUAACCAGGCAAUGGGUUAUAUGCAUACACAAAAAUGAAAGACAUCCCUGUCCUCAAGGAGUGCAGCUUCACUUUUGACUGGUGAUGGACAUCAUCCUGAUGGAGUAUUAAAACAUGGAGUCUGUUUCAGGACUGGCUGUGAAGUCUUCUCACCAGUUCUUUUCCCUCCCCUGCCACCUACCAACUCCCCAUGUGGAAAUGUGGCUCCAAUUUUAAAAGAUAAAUCAGUGAAAAGUUAAAGUUAAAUUUGUUGAAAUAGACUUGGUCAGUUUUGCUGCCACACUUCCAUGGCUUAUACUGAAGAAUACAGUCAAACUUCAGCUAAUAGAGUUAAAGUGUUUGCAUUUAAAAGUGAUGAUUUUUAGCAUCUUAUAAUUUCUCCCUGGAAGCAUCAAGCUUCCAAAUGGUAAAAGUACCUUCUUCUCCCAUGCCUAUAAUAGUUCCUUAAACCAAGAGGGUCAUAUUGUCUUGGUUUUUCAGAUAUACCUUCACAAGUUCAUGUUAGAACUGUUCUUGCUUGUCUACAAUGAUGAUAAAUCCUAAAACUGCUCUAAAAAAUAAUGUCUAUUAAAAAAAUCACCAGGCAUGCAAAGAAGAAGAAAAAUGUGAUUCAUAACUAGGACAACUGUCAAUCAAUAGAACUAGAUCUAGAAAUAACAGAGAUGAUUGAAUUAGCUGACAGAGACCUUAAAAUAGCUAUUUUAAAUAUUAUAAAUAUGCUCAAGAGGACGUAAAGGAAAAUAUGAACAUAAUAAGAGAAAUGGAAGGUAGAAAGAAGAUCCAGUGGAACUUAUAAAGAUGAAAAAUAUAACAUUUAAAACAAAAACAUAUUGGACAAAAUAUUGCACUAUAACAAUAUCCUUUUUUGGUAAGAGCACAUUUGGAGACAGUGUUACAUAUUAAAAAGGACAGAUACCAUAUGUUUUCACUCAUAAAUCUAACAGG
RNA transcript from Suricata suricatta (meerkat), 3649 nucleotides. It is a transcript of the gene named cyclin D1 binding protein 1, with no coding region annotated. The record is from RefSeq and is a predicted model, not a curated record. Lineage: Eukaryota; Metazoa; Chordata; Mammalia; Carnivora; Herpestidae. The transcript has 16 exons.